This is a long non-coding RNA of Zea mays, 1090 nucleotides long. RefSeq lists it as uncharacterized. NCBI's taxonomy places the organism in Eukaryota, Viridiplantae, Streptophyta, Magnoliopsida, Poales, Poaceae. The transcript has 2 exons. The record is from RefSeq and is a predicted model, not a curated record.
UUCUCCGCUUCCUGCGCGGGUGGUUGGUGGAAUGGCUCCGCGAAGCUCGGGCCGUUCGUACGGGCGCCACGCGCAUCUCGCUUCUCGCCGACCGCUUGUCCCCCUAAAAUCGGGCUCGGCUCUGAGAUAAAAUCGAAGGCCAGCUCUCCCUGUUCCCCAUGGAAAGCUCCUCUGUCAUGCCCUGCCCCUCUGCUCAACUCCGGUCGCGCGCCUCUCCUUCGGAUUGUGCCCUGUGUUUGUCCAGCCUGCUUGUAGCUCGCCGUCGACCUCCCCGGCACGUCCCUCCCUCGCCUUGGCGCCGCUGCGGACUCGACCGACGGCUGGGGCCGGUGGAUGCCUCGCCGGGGUGCUGUGCUGCUACCAAGCCGCCGCUCCAAUGGCCGUGGAGAGCUCUGGCAAGCCACCGGACGGUUGGACAGAACUCCACCAUCGGCGCCGUGUUAGGUAGUCGCCUUGCCUCUUUGUCGGACUUCUCGGAAUUCUUUACCCAUGCUCGGAUGGCGCCGCCGCAGCCAACACUUUGCUCCGCGCCGUGGCCGCCCUCGUUCCCGCCUUCUCUCUCGGAAGGAACCCUUAGUAACACAUGGGGUGUUACACUGGUGGCCUGGGAUGAUGCCAUGGAACGAUGUGGGACUAGGGCGCAACUUGGAGCUUGCGAUCCCCAAGCCGUCAAACGUCUCAACUUACAUGCAAUUCAAGGUGGUCUAUAAACAAGGCAAAGCAAAUUUGGUGGCAGAUGCACUCUCUAGAGUGGGAUAUCUUAUGGCUAAGUAGGUGGUUAGUGAAGUGCAACCUCUAUGGAUCCAAGAGAUUGUAAACUCUUAUGUAACAGAUUCAGAAGCACAUGCUUUUUGGUUAGACUUUGUGUCCACAAUCCUAAUGACCAAGGAUUUUGGCUGCACAAGGGCAUUAUCAAGAAGCAUAAGCUGAUUUGGGUGGGAGAAAACUCUGCUCUAGGAACCAAGAUAAUUGUUGCACUACAUGAUAGUGUGCUUGGGUACACUCAGGAGUCUAGGCUACAUAUCAUCGAGUUAAAAAAUUAUGUACUUGGAGAGGACUGAAGGCGGAUGUAGAUGAUUUUGUGAAACAA